RNA transcript from Oncorhynchus tshawytscha (Chinook salmon), 2230 nucleotides. It is a transcript of the gene named pre-mRNA 3'-end-processing factor FIP1-like, with no coding region annotated. Lineage: Eukaryota; Metazoa; Chordata; Actinopteri; Salmoniformes; Salmonidae. The record is from RefSeq and is a predicted model, not a curated record. The transcript has 9 exons.
AGGGGCUAUGAUGGUCGAUGUGUUCGGCUUUGUUAAAGCGUAUUGCCUCAGAGUAAACGCAGCGUUUUCAGAAUCAAACAGUCUCUCUUUGAGCUGCUCAACCAUUACAUUUACAUUAGGGAUUCUUCAAGCGAUAGGCUGUCAUUUUACUUUCAUCCCUUUACAAGGAAAUGUACAGUAUGCAGUCUGCAGACAAGUUAAGUAAUAUCCCUGUUUGCAAAUCUCGUAACAUUCCCCUGUACUCUAUUCUUCAAAUGUUACAAAAGUCUCGAUCUAAACUGACUGUUUUUCUAGUGAUGUUAUCUUUUUUUCACAGUGCAAAGCCCAAGCCGACUGCUGAGGUCCAUGAGAAUGAAGUAGUGAAGCAGGAUACAGGUCAGGAAGACCAAGAAAGUGACAGCGACAAUGAGGAUGAUGAUGAUGAUGACAUGUGUGUAACCAUUGGAGCCCCGUCACAGCCGUUCAGGCUGCAGGGAGAACACAUGCAUCAGUUUGCCCCAAAGCCAAAGGAGUGGACGUGGAUGCACAGGGUAGUGUUAACGGAAUCCCUGUGUUGGAGGUCGACGUGGAGUCUUUUGAAGAAAAGCCAUGGAGAAAGCAUGACUCGCACUUAACGAGGACUCCUGGAAAGCCUACUGUGAGAACCAGAGGAGAUUACGCAUGGGGUAUAAGGUCAUGAACCACGCUUCAGCCACUAAACUCAUGGAAUGGGACCUUCCCUGCUUUAGAUCUGACUACUCCUCCCCCAGCAACCACUACAAAUCAGCCUUGUCCAGAAAGACAAGCGGCACCACCAAUGUUAUUGGAGGACAAACUGGUACCAUCAGCCGGGUAGAGGAACAGAGACGUCACAAUAUAGAAGGAAAUAACAUCCAGGUGCUUUCCAAGCCAUCUGACGCUGAGCCUACUCCCACUAAGAUGCCCCCCUUCUUCCCCCUGCCUCCUUUCCCGCCUCCACCCUACAAUGUCAACUCUGCCCCUCCACUCAUUCCUCCACCACUAAUGUAUCUCGACAAUCGAUACCUCGAAUAUCCUUCAACUCUUGUCAAUGUAAAAAGGGCCUUACUUUCAUUGUGUGGGUGCAUCAUUAGUACAGUUGAGGGGUUUGAGGGACCAGAUGAAAGUGUAACCUUGAGAGUUGCAGGUGUAAAUCCCAUGCUGGGAACCCAUGAAGGACAGGCACCAUAAGUGGUAAUAAAUAACACUGCAUGUUGAAGGACAUGUUUAGGAUUUGGAGGUGAAUGCAGAUGGGUUAACAUAAACAUGUGGGUGUGUGUACAUUUGUGUGCACAUGGUCAUGAGUGUGCACUCUAUGGGUGAGUGUCUUUUUCCCCAGGUGUGUGUAAUUCUCUCCAGGUGUGUGGGUGCCAGUGCUUUCAGUCUGUCGGACUUCCUCCUCAUCGCCUGAUGAAUAUGAGGCAGAGGGCAGGAAGUCCCCCCUAGCCUGAGCUCACAGCUGAGCGCAGGCUGCCAUCGCUUCAUCUUCAAAGAUUCCAAAAUAGCACCCCUCACACACUCCCAGCACCCCCUAAGUUCAAUGAGCCCGGUACCGACAUGUUGUUCAACCUGUGCCAAAUAUCCUAAUACAACCAAAAUAUCAAACAUCCUGUUGACCCGGCAAACCUGGCUUUCCUUCUUUAAGUUACAGGCUCUGCCUCCUUUUGUGAUGCAAAUGUUUAACGUGAUAAAAAUAGCUCCUGGAAGAAAAGAAAAGUGCAGAGCCAGCAGAUUGGAGGGAGAGAGAGAGAGAGAACUUUGUUACUCUUGGUACAGUAGGGUCACAUUAGUGGUGUAGUAUUAUUGCUUGAUAGGGCCAGGUUUUAGCGUGGGGUUGUGUUGUCAUUGCAGGCCAGUCUGUGUAGUGAAGCACUAAGGGAUGCUGUCUGGAGCUCUAGUGUAGAACUGGUGGUACUGAUCAGUGUAGUUUGGCACAUACAUUGUGGUUAGUUUGACACCUGUACUGACUGAUAUGGCUGUGACGGUCUUGGAAUUUGAGGUUACGGUAAUUGGCCAGGCCAAUGUACAGACACCAACAUAAUCGUUCAAGAAUAUGCAUAUGCUUCCUAAUAAAACCUAUUUGAAACAAGCCAUUACACUUCGUUAUCAUCACGGCGAUUCAUUACUAUUAUUCAGGUUAUUACUUUUAAAUGUGGGAUUUUUGUAUCGACACAACAUCAGCAGAGUCAAAAUAAAGAUAUUCCUACCUUGUCUGUUGGCUUUUCUGCAUAUA